RNAcentral lists this non-coding RNA (108 nucleotides) under unclassified sequences. RNAcentral describes it as "c-di-GMP sequence". It matches the Rfam family "c-di-GMP-II-GAG riboswitch aptamer". The record is from Rfam by way of RNAcentral.
GGCAGCAGGGGACGCGAUGAUCCCCGAGCCGUCAUGAGUCGGUCGCCGAGGCUGACAGGGUGCCAGCGGGCUCGGGGGGAGCGAGCGGCGAGACCGACCCCAGGACCG